AGGAACUGGCUGGAAGAUGGGGUGUGUGUGCGUAUAUGGGAGCGAGGAAAGCGCUGUAGGAAGCAUGCAGGCCGCUUUAUUUUACAGCUGUGGGAGUGGUGGACAAGGGCGGCGGCUCUGCGAGAAGCACGUGGGCGCGGCGGGCCGCCUCAGGGAUGGAGUAGGCUGUGGUCUUGCCAACUCCCGUUAUCAAAGGCCCAAGGACGCCAUUCACUCAGCCCCGGGCGGGCGUGGGUCUGGGGGCCGGAAACCCGAAGUCCUGUGGGUGCCGUGGAAUGCACGAGCAGCCGGCGGAGCAAACCUGCCCCAUAGAUUUUUCUAAACCGUUCGCCACAGAAACGCUACUCUGUCUUCUCUGACCGACUCUGUGCACUGCAGCCUUGCACAAAGAAAACAGGAGGUACUCCAAGUCUGAGAUACUGUUCCGACUAGGAAAGGGGUAGCUUCUGGUACCUGCAGCUCUCUCGGGGCAGGGUCCCGCGGGUCGUACCCACCUCCCCGCUCGAGUGCGGUCAAAACCCGGAGACCGGAUUACAUCCCAAUCCAGAAGUCUCAGGGCGCCCGCAGUUAGUUCAGGGCAUGCUCAGUCGCAGAGCAGGUUUUUGGGCUUGGAAGUAGGAAGCUUUUGCACCACACACCCACACUCUAGCUCAAAUUACCUCUCCCAGACUCUGCACUCAUUGGUCUCGGGGCGCGAGUCUGACACCCCUAAGUGUUGUUCAUUGGCUGCCGCCAAGGCUUUAUCAGUUUGGGGCGCUUCAUUGGCUAAAAAGUAGCCUCCGCUCGCGAUUGGUUAUUUAUAGAGAUUGAGCGGAGAGGCGGAGGCACAGCUGUUCUUUCUCCGUUGCUCCCCCACCCUCUGCCUCCCACUUCCCCAACCCUGGCGUUUUGAAGUAAAAGUGAAAAAAUAAGAGGCAUUUAGGCUGAGAGCUCAGAACUAAAUAUAGUUCUUUGUUGGUGUUUUCGAGAGGGUCUGACUCCUCGGUUUCCAGUCACGACUGCCCCUUAAAGGGAGCACAAAGGGCUAAUUACAGGUUUUGGUCCGCAAGAAACCGCAGAGUUGCCAAGUUUUUUUGCAGGGAGUGGGAGGGGGCGAGGAGCCGAAAUGGGCCACUUGGAAUUCGUUUCACCCGGAGGGGUAGGGGAGUGUCCAAGCUUGCUUCAGAGGAAGCGUCUUCGCUGGCGGGCCGGGCAAUCGCUAGACUUGGCUGGGCUGGCGCUCCCGGGAGGUGCAAGGGAGAUGCCCCGACUUGUUCCGACUCCCUCGCUCCUCGCUGAGGAGGGAUGUCAAGACCUGUCUGCAGGCUGAGCUCGGCGGCGGCGGGUGCGGGAUGGGGAGGGAGGCGGUGGAGCUGCGUCAGCGCUGGCUCCCCGUCCUGAUGUCACUGCUCCCUGGUUUCACCGUCCGCAUCGGAGGGUAAACCUGGGCAUGGCUAACACGGUUUCAGUUCCUAGUGCCGCCGUGACUCACGCUGCGUUUGCUAGUUAACCUCCAAACCCCUGGCCAAAGCAGCUUCCGUGCACGUCUGCAGCGUGAAGUCCUUGGGCACAGAACCGGGCGGGACGUGGGCUGCCCCUGAUGCCUUGGGUGGGGUGGGUGGUGCCCACACCCGCGCCUCACCCCAAUUUAGUAGAGAGAGGAGACUUUCACCUUGACUGUCAGAGUGCUUGGAUGUUAUGAAGCUUAUAUAAUUCUCCAGAAAAACCUCUCAGAGGCAAACUCGCCUAAGCUGGAGAGAACCCUGUCAACAUCCACCCAAUGUGUAAUGUCCACCAAGCGUUUUACAUAUACUGCCACUCCUCAUAAUAAUGAUUAUUUACCCAUUUUAAAGAUGAGGAAACUGAGGCUGUGAGAUGAUCAAUAAUUUGCCUGCGAUGCCACAACUAGAAAGUGGCCAACCUAAGAUUCCAACCCAGGGAUUUGCCUGCAGAGCCUAGUCUCAUAACCACUGGACCAUACUUACCCGUCACAUGAAUGUUCCGGUAUGUUAUUCUUUCUUAGGGUGAUUUUAGAGGCUGUGUGAUCAGACUGGCUCUUAAACCCAAGAGGGACCUCCGCCCACAGCCACCCUCUGGCUCUCCUCUGGCAGUGCCCCUCUUCCGGUCAGGCUGAUGGCCCAGCUGGAGCCUGACCCUCUUCUAGACUACAUACGCUCCAUGUAGUCAGAACUCUGGACUGCUCUGCCCAAAUGGUGCCAAGUUCACUUUCAGGAUCUGGUCGGGACUCUGAACUCACUCCUGUGUCCAAGAAAUAGCUCUUCUUUGGGGUGUGGACAGUACCUGGACCUGUGGGCUAAGGUGUGCACUCCCAGGUGCUUUGGGCCCCUCGUAAUGCAGGAAGAGGGAUCAUUCGCGAUCAGCUUUAUCCUCCAUGACACCUUCCAGCCUGGCCCUUAGAGAAGUCCAGGAAUUCAUAGUUCACAACUGGCCAUCCAGCUCCGUGUAGGAGGUAUUUGUCAAGGUGGGAGGACAGAUCAUAUUUUGUUUAACAGUUUGUUAUCUUGAUUUAUGACUUAAAUACUUAGGUUAAUGCUAUGUGGGCCUCUAUUGGUACUCUUAACCACAAAUAUUAGGUGUGGUUCUGAGUGUGAUAUAGAAGCAGAUGCUUUGUCCUUCUGGGCCUGAAGUCUAAUCUCAAGUAUUGGAUAUCAGUUAUUAUCAGAGGCCUUAGGCGAGUCACUUAAGCUCUCCUAACCUUAGUUUCCCUUUCUAUAAAAUGGUGAUAAUAUAAUUUGCCCUACGCACCUACCUACACAAGGAAACUUGGAGAAAAUCCGGUCACCAAAUCAAUCAUUUUACAGCAGAGAGAGCUGAGCAGAAUUAGGACCCUGCUGUCUUAGCUGCCCUUACCAUGUGCCAGGCUGUCCAGAGGGAUAAUAAUUAACAGAUAAUAGACGGAAACAUGUUUCUAAAGCUGCAGCACCCCAUACGUGCAUCAAAUUACUGCUCAGACCCAGACAGCCUGACAGUCCCUUGAGAAAUGACCAUUCCUAAGACUCUAGGUAGCCAUGUGGAUGGGUAUUACUGAACCUUUAUGGCCUCCUCAGUACCAGAAAGAUGCCACAAUUUGAAUACUUUUUAUUAGGGAUUCUUCAAUAGCAAUUUUUAUUACAUUCAGAUGGUCUUCCACAGAAAGAUUUAUAUUGGACCUUUGGGAUUUCAAAUGAAGCAAUGAAAAAUGUACAAUUUUUUUUUUUUUUUGAGACAGUGUCUUGCUCUGUCGCCCAGGCUGGAGUGCAAUGGCACGAUCUCAGCUCACUGCAACCUCUGCCUCCCAGGUUCAAGUGAUUCUCCAGCCUCAGCCUCCUGAGUAACUGGGAUUACAGGGGCGUGCCACCACGCCUAACUAAUUUUUGUAUUUUUAGUAGAGACAGGGUUUCAUCAUGUUGGCCAGGCUGGUCUCGAACUCCUGAUCUCAGGUGAUCUGCCCACAUCAGCCUCCCAAAGUACUGGGAUUAGAGGCAUGAGCCACUGUGCCCGGCCCAGUGUACAAAUUUUUAGGGUUGAUCAUUUCUUCAUGUAAAAUUUGUUAGGAAUAUUUUUACCCCCACUCACAGCGUGAAACAUUAUCUAUCCUGUACUAUAAUUAUUACAUUUCCAUAACUAAGUCUGGUCACCUUAAGCACCAUGUGAAAUACUCAAGGGCAAGGUCCAUGUCUAGUUUAUCUUUAGAGCCACCUUUGUCCUUCACAGCACUUAGUACCGUAGAAAGCCCUCAAAUAUUUAUUAAUGAAUGUGUGAAUGGUAUUUUAUCCUUUUCCAAACUCUAUUUGUGUUAGAAGAUCAUAUCAAUCCUUGAUAAGACAUAACAUGUUUUCGAUCCACAGAAAAAUGUAUACUAAUGUGUCAGUCUGUCUCCCUGAGUCACAAAGAUGCUGGAGUGAUCAAAGUCUUCAUUUAUUGGGGUGAAAACACUAAAUCAGUGCUAUCUUGAGGAAAGAUACCAAAGCAUCCAAUGGAUAAAGCUUUUGUCUGAAGAAGACAUUUUCAGAUUAUGUGGAAAGGCAUUUUUGAAAAACAAUCUAACAUAAAAGCUAUCAGGAAGAGACAGCUUAACUUUGAUACUUUGCAUAAACAGGGGUCCCAUUCCUAACCUUUGCUCACAGAGUGACCUCCUUCCAAGAUACACAGGUUGGGUCUUGAAAGAAUUAGAUUUCUUAGAAUGUGACUGUUUUACGUCCUCAAGAAAAUAACUACCCGCUUGUUCUUUUCAUUUGUACUAGGUAAGUGGAGGUUUGUUUCAUAAUGUUCAUAGUUUUAGUUAGUGUCACCUAUAGGUAAACAAAAAAUUCUGAACAAAUUCUAAUUUUGAAAGCAUCAAAGGUAAGUUGAUAGUGACCAUAUAUCAUUAUUUGAAAGCUGAAGUAGGCCAGGCGCAAUGGCUCACACCUGUAAUCCCAGCACUUUGGGAGGCCGAGGCGGGCAGAUCACGAGGUCAGGAGUUUGAGUCCAGCCUGGCCAAAACGGCAAAACCCCAUCUCUACUAAAAAUACAAAAAUUGGCUGGGUGUGGUGGCACAUGCUUGUGGUCCCAGCUACUUGGGGGGGCUGAGGCAGGAGAAUCACUCGAACCUGGGAGGCAGAGGUUGCAGUGAGCAGAGAUUGUGCCACUGCACUCCAGCCUGGGUGACAGAGUGAGACUCCAUCUCAAAAAAAUAAAUAAAGUGGAGGUAUAAGUGUGAGAAUAACUGUGCCUUACUGUGUUCUCAAUAUGUGUUAAGUAACUGAAUAUAUUAUAACAUGACCACAUAUCCACUAGUAGGCUUAGGAUAUUUUACUUUAUCAAUGGUCCUUUUUUAAUAAUCUUCAGUAAUGUCUCUAAAAAUAUUUUGUACAUCAACCAAACCAUCAUUAUCAUUUCAUACUAUUCAUACUAUUCAGAUUACACUUUGGGUAGACAACAUAUUACACAUUAUUUCACACUACUAUAUACUAUUCAUAUUAUACUUUGGGAAGCCAUUUUGUAAGAACAAUUACUUGUAAUGAGAUUUUAUGUCUUUAUAUUUUAACAGUGUCCUAAAAUCCUAGCAUGAUAACUAGGAGAGACAAAGAUCUGCCUAGUUUUCUAAUUUCAGUGUCUGCCUAUAUAACUUGUACUCUGAUUCUUUUUUCCUAUUUUAAUUAUUCUUCAAAGGAAAGUGUGUAGAAGAGUCUUAAAUUUUAAAUUAAAUAACCUCUUAAAAUCAAGUUUUCUAUAAACUUUUUUACAGGCAAAAACAAAUAGGAGAAUCAAAAUAGCUAUGUCUCAAAGCUGUUGUUUAACAAUUUAAUAUUAAAUAAUGAUCUCAACAUAUAAAUUAAUAGUCUGUUUAAGAUUUGUCUCCUCACAACCUUCUGUUCCAGAAAACCAAAUACAGCAAGAAUGAGAGAAAUUGCACUGUUGCAUUAAAAAGAAUUUUCCUGCCGGGCGCAGUGACUCACGCCUGUAAUCUCAGCACUUGGGGAGGCCGAGGCGGGUGGAUCACGAGGUCAAGAGAUCAAGACCAUCCUCGCCAACAUGGUGAAACCCCGUCUCUACUAAAAAUACAAAAAAUUAGCCGGGUGUGGUGGCGGAUGCCUGUAGUCCCAGCUACUCAAGAAGCUGAGGCAGGAGAAUCACUUGGACCCUGGAGGCAGAGGUUGCAGUGAGCCGAGAUUUCGCCACUGCACUCCAGCCUGGCGACAUAAUGAGACUCUGUCUUAAAAAAAAAAAAAAAAGGAAUUUUCCUCUCACUUUCUUCUCACCACUACUAGAUUAAAGGAGCCCCCUUUUCUUCUGCAGGUGAGAGGUGACAGCGUGCUGGCAGUCCUCACAGCCCUCGCUCGCUCUCAGCGCCUCCUCUGCCUGGGCUCCCACUUCGGCGGCACUUUAGGAGCCCUUCAGCCCACCACUGCACUGUGGGAGCCCCUUUCUGGGCUGGCCAAGGCCGGGGCCGGCUCCCUCAGCUUGCAGGGAGGUGUGGAGAGAGAGGCGCGAGCGGGAACCGGGGCUGCGCGCGUGGCUUGAGGGCCAGCUGGAGUUCCGGGUGGGCGUGGGCUUGGCGGCCCAGCACUCGGAGCAGCCCCCUGCCGGUCCCGGGCAAUGAGGGGCUUAGCACCCAGGCCAGCGGCUGCGGAGGGUGUACUGGGUCCCCCAGCAGUGCCGGCCCACCGGUGCUGCACUCGAUUUCUCGCCGGGCAGGGCUCGGGACCUGCAGCCCACCAUGCCUGAGCCUCCCACCCCCUCCGUGGGCUCGUGUGCGGCCGGAGCCUCCCCUAGGAGCGCCGCCCCCUGCUCCAGGGCGCCCAGUCCCAUCGACCACCCAAGGGCUGAGGAGUGCCGGCGCACGGCGCGGGACUGGCAGGCAGCUCCACCUGCAGCCCCAUUGCGCGAUCCACUGGGUGAAGCCAGCUGGGCUUCUGAGUCUGGUGGGGAUGUGGAGAAGCUUUAUGUCUAGCUCAGGGAUUGUAAAUAUACCAAUCGGCACUCUGUAUCUAGCUCAAGGUUUGUAAACACACCAAUCAGCACCCCUGUCUAGCUCAGGGUUUGUGAAUGCAAUCGACACUCUGUAUCUAGCUACUCUGGUGGGGACUUGGAGAACCUUUGUGUGGACACUCUGUAUCUAGCUAAUCUGGUGGGGACGUGGAGAACCUUUAUAUCUAGCUCAGGGAUUGUAAACACACCAAUCAGCGCCCUGUCAAAACAGACCACUCAGCUCUACCAAUCAGCAGGAUGUGGGUGGGGCCAGAUAAGAGAAUAAAAGCAGGCUGCCCAUGCCAGGAGUGGCAACCUGCUCGGGUCCCAUUCCACACUAUGGGAGCUUUGUUCCUUCACUCUUUGCAAUAAAUCUUGCUGCUGCUCACUCUUUGGGUCCACACUGCCUUUAUGAGCUGUAACACUCACUGCGAAGGUCUGCAGCUUCACCACGAACCCACCGGGAGGAACGAACAACUCCAGAUGCGCCGCCUUAGGAGCUGUAACACUCGCCGCGAAGGUCCGUGGCUUCACUCCUGAGCCAGCGAGACCACGAAGCCCACCAGAAGGAAGAAAUUCCGAACACAUCCGAACAUCAGAAGGAACAAACUCUGGACACGCCACCUUUAGGAACUGUAACACUCACCGCGAGGAUCCGCGGCUUCAUUCUUGAAGUCAGUGAGACCAAGAACCCACUAAUUCCGGACACACAGGGACAGCAAUCCACUGCUUGCCUUGAUGUACGAUUGAAGCCUAUCACCCCUUCUGCAGCAGUGGCUCCAUUAAGUUUCACUCUAUCACCCAGACUGGAGUGCGGUGGCACAAUCUCCGCUCAUUGCAGCCUCUGCCUCCCGGAUUCAAGUGAUUCUCCUGCCUCAGCCUCCCCAGUAGCUGGGACUACAAGUAUGUGC
Molecule: long non-coding RNA, 7343 nt
Filed under: Homo sapiens (human)
Lineage: Eukaryota; Metazoa; Chordata; Mammalia; Primates; Hominidae
Description: non-protein coding lnc-DHX36-2:8
Source: RNAcentral